CCGCAUGUGAAUAGUAAACACGGCUGUAAUACAGAGGCUUACUUAAGUCCUGGAAGGUCUCGCACUGAUGCCGAGAUCUCUGCUGCUUCAGGGCACAGUUUUUCUACCAACUCAAGAGGACCCCACAGAGACUUGUUAAAGCCCAGGAAAGACUUCUUCACUGAAAAUGUGCAAAAGGCCAUGUUUGAGGCAGUGCUCCAUGACAACGAAGAACUGCUGCAGAGGGGGAUAGUCUGAGUCCAGGGUCCUCCCGAAGCUCAGCGCAGACUCAAUCAGACCCUUGAUGCUCAGCUUGGCCAUAUUCAACAGGUUAGCGCGCUCCAUGGCCAUCGGGUCACGGAAGGCUGCAGAGAGACAGGAAAAUCACAAACAAAACAACUGUGAGUCCUGAGUGAUUGUGUAAGAAAGAGUAAAGUUUGACUCAGGAGAAACUGUGGCAGAUGUUCCAGGAGCACACGAUGGCCCUACCCCCAACACCUCCCAUUUGUACUGGAUCUGCAGUUAACCCCCGGAAAGAAUUGACCACACAAGCACGCACAUACACAUACAAAGCACACCGCUGCCCACAUCUCCACGGGCUCAACAGUUGUCCAACUGAAUGAACACUCACACAGUGCAGACCAAAUCCCCUUGGUCUGUCUGAUAGCAGCACACAGGGGUCAGGCCUGGUGUCAGCGUCCAGAGUGCAGUGUCUCUGGGCAGCUGGCCAGGAUAAUCCUUCUGCUGGAGGCCACUGCUUCUCAAACUAAAGGCCAUGGACCCCCAGGGGGCACAGGGCAGCUAUGUGAGGGAACAGCACAAUCUCACGUUUGUUGAAAAAUAUAUUCUUUGGAAGAUUAGAUUUUGUAAAUUUGGUCUGUUUACAUGUUAUGUUGCAUGCAUUGCCAGCCUUGCAUUAUUGAUUUCUGUUGGAGACAACCAGGUGCCAACAAAGGUGUGAAGCUUCAUUACCAAAACCCAUGUCUGCCUCACACACUACUAUUACAGGUGCCAAAUCCUGACAGGGAGCAGGUUGCCUUC
Boleophthalmus pectinirostris (great blue-spotted mudskipper) is the source of this 1020-nucleotide long non-coding RNA. RefSeq lists it as uncharacterized. The transcript is spliced from 3 exons. Lineage: Eukaryota; Metazoa; Chordata; Actinopteri; Gobiiformes; Gobiidae. The record is from RefSeq and is a predicted model, not a curated record.